UACAUGACAACCUGUCAUUCGAUCCCUGAGAUUAUUUAGUGCCAGAAGGGAGAAAGUUAUUAUCAAAGCUAUAAUCGAAAGGACGGUAUAAAAAAAAACCUCGAGAUCUAUUCUCAUCAUUCAUCGUUUGAACUCAUAAAUUUUGAGAAUACUCCGUUAUAAGUAUAAGUUAUAAACUGAGUGGAUACAUUUGAGUAGAUCACUACAGAUUGCAGAGGCACAUUAGACCUUCAACCGAAACAAAAGUCACUUGCCAAUCAGUUGUGGAGUUAGCCAUCAACACAAUUAAUUCCCAAAUAUUUCCCGAAAAUUAUCCUUCGUCACUGCACGUCACAAAAUAUAGGGAGCCCGGUGGCAGUUUCCCACAGGACCGAGGGAGGCGUCACAACUGAACAAAUACUCAAAUAUAUAAAUGAUCUGUAUAGAAAUAAAUAUUAAAAUAUAUAAAUACAAAUAAUCUGAAAAUAUCAACAAAAUAUAUCUCCAUAUAUAUCAAAGAAUAACACGUAGAAAUCAAAAUCAUUCUAACAACGAAAUAUAGUCCAAAAUAAGAAUAAAAAUAGGAACGAGAUAAAUGUAAGC
Long non-coding RNA from Fopius arisanus, 582 nucleotides. RefSeq lists it as uncharacterized. The record is from RefSeq and is a predicted model, not a curated record. Lineage: Eukaryota; Metazoa; Arthropoda; Insecta; Hymenoptera; Braconidae. The transcript has 3 exons.